CACAUUAUGAAAAUAACAAUUCAGUACUGAAAUGGCAUAAUGAAAUAUAGUAAAUGAGUAGAAUAACUUAUGUACAAUUUCUCCAACAUUUCCCUCCUGUU
Coregonus clupeaformis (lake whitefish) is the source of this 101-nucleotide long non-coding RNA. RefSeq lists it as uncharacterized. Lineage: Eukaryota; Metazoa; Chordata; Actinopteri; Salmoniformes; Salmonidae. The record is from RefSeq and is a predicted model, not a curated record. The transcript has 3 exons.